Long non-coding RNA from Manis pentadactyla (Chinese pangolin), 1764 nucleotides. RefSeq lists it as uncharacterized. The record is from RefSeq and is a predicted model, not a curated record. The transcript has 2 exons. NCBI's taxonomy places the organism in Eukaryota, Metazoa, Chordata, Mammalia, Pholidota, Manidae.
CACUAUGGCUGAACACUGCCCUUCCACUGUAGCUGACCAACGCCCUAAGAUGGCGCCCGCUUCCUGGGCGCCACCCUUCCUGGUUUGGUGGCAUUAGCAUAAGGAAGUUGCUCCUAUAGGCUUGCCCCAUGCUUCCACGCUCGUGCUCAACUCAUGCAGAAGGCAUGCUACCAAUCAGCUUAAAGGUCACGCAUGAUCUUGAUCACCAUAGGCCAGCUUCCUUUAUAUAAGGCAUAAGCAGGAAAGAGAAGGAGUCUCUCUCCUCUCAUUCUUCCUCUCACUCGCUCUCUCCGGCUGUUGCUUCUUCUCACUCACCUUCUCCCGACCUUCCGAGCAACAAUAAAGAACUGAAGUGAACCAGGUCUUUGUACAUAUCGCUGUCGUCACCGCCACAAGGAGCGAACGCGAUAUCUGGUGCCGAAACCCGGGAAUUUUUCUCCAACCACCCAGAGGAGAAACUGGCGGACGCGGAUGCCAUAGAGCUUCUUACCCUGAAGCAGUACCAGUGGACUCCAUUCAGAAGGAUCGUUCGGGAGGGCACCUCGAAAGAGGAGGGUGAGUGGAUCAACAAGCAAAAUGAAAGACCGAAACAAUCCCAUCUGGGUGCCUGAACGCCUGACACGGAGAGUGGCAAGACCAGAACCGGAAGUGCGAGAUGCCGACCCCACUGAUGCUGAUCCUGCUACUGAUCCUUCAGCAGGCGAUAGCAGAACCCAGAGAACUAUGGGGUCUGGUGAAGGCUUGGCCUCUACCACUCCCGGUGACUGAAACUGCACAUACCUUUCCCGCCUUUUUCUCUCCCAUAUCUGCCCUUUGACAGCUCUAUGUGUUACUGGCAUUCCUUUUCAUAGCCUCUCUAAAGCUGCCAAUCUGUCCAGGGAAUUAGACAAGAUGUUAUCCACCAAUUGGUCCAGUGAGUUUGACAUGCUCACCACUCAGCUAUGGCUAGAAAUAUUGAAUGUUAGUUCCCAAAAGGUAGAGGCGCUGUCUGUAGCUCAGUUUGCUGAAGCUGUGCUAAAUGCCACCAAAGCCUGGUCAGGCAUGGGUGUUAUGGGUAUAUUACUCCUUGUAGGUCUUCUCCUACUUGGGAGAAAAGUCUGUUCCAUGCAAUGGCAACAUCGGGAAGUGCGGAUGGCUCUGGUGCAGGCCAUGGCAGCUAUAGAGGAAGACAUCUCCCCUAGGGUGUGGCUCAAUAUGUUGGACCAGUAGUCAAAGAUGGGUAAGAUCAGGAGGUAUGCAUACCAACCUAAGACAGGGCGCAGACCUUAGCUGUCUGUUGCCCUAUGACGGGUAAGGAUGCUGCGCCUCCCUGACAACCUAAGACAGGCAUGGUCCCUGAGCCUCAUUGUGUUAAAAAACAAAAAAGGGGGAGAUGUAGGGGCCGGCCUACGGCCAAGGCUGAGUCCCACUAUUGGCUGAACACCGCCCUUCCACUGUAGCUGACCAACGCCCUAAGAUGGUGCCCGCUUCCUGGGCGCCACCCUUCCUGGUUUGGUGGCAUUAGCAUAAGGAAGUUGCUCCUAUAGGCUUGCCCCAUGCUUCCACGCUCGUGCUCAACUCAUGCAGAAGGCAUGCUACCAAUCAGCUUAAAGGUCACGCAUGAUCUUGAUCACCAUAGGCCAGCUUCCUUUAUAUAAGGCAUAAGCAGGAAAGAGAAGGAGUCUCUCUCCUCUCAUUCUUCCUCUCACUCGCUCUCUCCGGCUGUUGCUUCUUCUCACUCACCUUCUCCCGACCUUCCGAGCAACAAUAAAGAACUGAAGUGAA